GUAGUCCACGCCCUAAACGAUGGAUACUAGUCGUCGGGACACCUAAUCGUCUCGGUGACGUCGCUAACGCAUUAAGUAUCCCGCCUGGGGAGUACGGUCGCAAGAUUAAAACUCAAAGGAAUUGACGGGGGCCCGCACAAGCGGUGGAGCAUGUGGUUUAAUUCGAUGCUACGCGAAAAACCUUACCUAGGCUUGACAUCCCGGGCUAUCCUGUGAAAGCAGGAGUUCCCUUACGGGACCCGGUGACAGGUGCUGCAUGGCUGUCGUCAGCUCGUGUUGUGAGAUGUUGGGUUAAGUCCCGCAACGAGCGCAACCCUUGUCGUUAGUUACCAGCAUUUAGUUGGGGACUCUAACGAGACCGCUUGGCAAUAAGCCAGA
RNAcentral lists this ribosomal RNA (378 nucleotides) under uncultured bacterium. Its description in RNAcentral is "bacterial SSU rRNA". It matches the Rfam family "Bacterial small subunit ribosomal RNA", at positions 790 to 1167 of the family's 1533-position model. The record is from RNAcentral.